CAGCCGCCACGGUAAUACGGAGGGUGCAAGCGUUACUCGGAAUCACUGGGCGUAAAGGACGCGUAGGCGGAUUAUCAAGCCUCCUGUGAAAUCUAACGGCUUAACCGUUAAACUGCUUGGGAAACUGAUAAUCUAGAGUAAGGGAGAGGCAGAUGGAAUUCUUGGUGUAGGGGUAAAAUCCGUAGAGAUCAAGAAGAAUACCCAUUGCGAAAGCGAUCUGCUGGAACUUAACUGACGCUAAUGCGCGAAAGCGUGGGGAGCAAACAGGAUUAGAUACCCCCGUAGUCCCUGUCUCUUAUAC
Molecule: ribosomal RNA, 301 nt
Filed under: uncultured bacterium
Lineage: Bacteria
Description: partial 16S ribosomal RNA
Rfam family: Bacterial small subunit ribosomal RNA
Source: RNAcentral